RNAcentral lists this ribosomal RNA (848 nucleotides) under uncultured archaeon. RNAcentral describes it as "bacterial SSU rRNA". It matches the Rfam family "Archaeal small subunit ribosomal RNA", at positions 90 to 922 of the family's 1478-position model. The record is from RNAcentral.
UCAGUAACACGUAGCUAACCUACCCUUAGGACGUGGAUACCCCCGAGAAAUUUGGGGUUAAUCGCGAUAGGUGUAAUGUCCUGGAAUGGUAUUACGCCUAAAAGGUGUAUCAUACAUGUUUUGAUAUACGCCUAAGGAUGGGGCUGCGGCCGAUCAGGCUGUUGGUGAGGUAAUGACUCACCAAACCUUUGACCGGUACGGGCCAUGAGAGUGGUAGCCCGGAGAUGGACACUGAGACAAGGGUCCAGGCCCUAAGGGGCGCAGCAACCGCGAAACCUCCACAAUGCACUCACGUGCGAUGGGGCUAUCUCGAGUGCCACCUGAUGAAGGUGGCUUUUCCUAGGUCUUCAAAGCCUUGGGAAUAAGAGGGGGGCAAGACUGGUGUCAGCCGCCGCGGUAACACCAGCCCCUCGAGUGGUGGGGAUGAUUAUUUGGCCUAAAGCGUCCGUAGCCGGCCGGAUAAGUUUCCCGUUAAAUCUAACGUCUCAAGCGUUAGGCUGCGGGAAAUACUGUCUAGCUAGAGAGUGGGAGAGGUCAGCGGUAUUCUGGGGGUAGGGGCGAAAUCCUUUGAUCCCCGGAGGACCACCAGUGGCGAAGGCUGCUGACUAGAACACGUCUGACGGUCAGGGACGAAAGCUGGGGUAGCGAACCGGAUUAGAUACCCGGGUAGUCCCAGCCGUAAACGAUGCAUGCUAGGUGUUGGGUUGGCCACGAGCCACCUCAGUGCCGCAGGGAAGCCGUUAAGCAUGCCGCCUGGGAAGUACGAUCGCAAGGUUGAAACUUAAAGGAAUUGGCGGGGGAGCACCACCAGGCGUGAAGCCUGCGGUUUAAUUGGAGUCAACGCCGGG